This 204-nucleotide ribosomal RNA is filed under the name uncultured Botryotinia. RNAcentral's name for it is "partial large subunit ribosomal RNA". It matches the Rfam family "Eukaryotic large subunit ribosomal RNA", at positions 40 to 245 of the family's 3401-position model. The record is from RNAcentral. Lineage: Eukaryota; Fungi; Ascomycota; Leotiomycetes; Helotiales; Sclerotiniaceae.
AUAUCAAUAAGCGGAGGAAAAGAAACCAACAGGGAUUGCCUUAGUAACGGCGAGUGAAGCGGUAACAGCUCAAAUUUGAAAUCUGGCUCUCGGCCCGAAUUGUAAUUUGUAGAAGAUGCUUUGGGUGUGAGUCCGGUCUAAGUUCCUUGGAACAGGACGUCAUAGAGGGUGAGAAUCCCGUACGUGACUGGCCGCCUUGCCGCC